RNAcentral lists this ribosomal RNA (253 nucleotides) under uncultured bacterium. RNAcentral's name for it is "partial 16S ribosomal RNA". It matches the Rfam family "Bacterial small subunit ribosomal RNA", at positions 524 to 776 of the family's 1533-position model. The record is from RNAcentral.
UACGUAGGGUGCAAGCGUUAAUCGGAAUUACUGGGCGUAAAGCGUGCGCAGGCGGUUUUGUAAGUCUGACGUGAAAGCCCCGGGCUCAACCUGGGAAUUGCAUUGGAGACUGCAAGGCUAGAAUCUGGCAGAGGGGGGUAGAAUUCCACGUGUAGCAGUGAAAUGCGUAGAGAUGUGGAGGAACACCGAUGGCGAAGGCAGCCCCCUGGGUCAAGAUUGACGCUCAUGCACGAAAGCGUGGGGAGCGAACAGG